AGUAGUUGUGGUAGUGGUAGUUGUAGUGGUAGUGGUGGUGGUGGUGGUUGUAGUAGUAGUAGUAGUGGUAGUUGUGGUGGUAGUUGUAGUGGGGGUGGUGGUGGAAGUAGUUGUAGUGGUGGUGGUAGUGGUGGUGUUUGUAGUAGUGGUAGUAGUAGUGGUGGUAGUUGUAGUAGUGGUAGUUGUAGUAGUGGUGGUGGUGGUGGUGGUGGUGGUGGUAGUUGUAGUGGUGGUAGUGGUGGUGUUUGUAGUAGUGGUGGUAGUAGUGGUGGUGUUAGUAGUGGUAGUUGUAGUAGUGGUAGUAGUAGUAGUAGUAGCGGUGGUAGUAGUGGUAGUUGUAGUUGUAGUAGUAGUGGUAGUGGUAGUUGUAGUAGUGGUAGUUGUAGUAGUAGUGGUGGUGGAGGUGGUAGUUGUGGUAGUAGUAGUAGUGGUAGUUGUGGUAGUAGUAGUAGUGGUAGUUGUGGUAGUUGUAGUAGUGGUGGUGGUAGUUGUAGUAGUGGUGGUGGUAGUUGUAGUAGUAGAGUGGUAGUUGUAGUAGUAGUGGUGGUGGUAGUAGUGGAAGUAGUAGUAGUGGUAGUUGUAGUGGUGGUGUUAAAAGUUGUAGUAGUGGUGGUAGUGGUAGUAGUGGUAGUUGUAGUAGUGGUGGUGUUAAAAGUUGUAGUAGUGGUGGUAGUGGUAGUAGUGGUAGUUGUUGUAGUGGUGGUGGUGGUGGUGGUAGUUGUAGUAGUAGUGGUAGUUGUAGUGGUUGUGGUAGUAGUAGUGGUGGUGGUUGUAGUGGUAGGUGUAGUGGUGGUGGUGGUGGUGGUAGUUGUAGUAGUAGUUCCACUAGUAGUAGUAGUAGUAGUAGUAGUAGUAGCAGUACCAAUAGUAGUAGUAGUAGUGGUGGUGGUAGUUGUAGUAGUGGUGGUGGUAGUUGUAGUAGUAGAGUGGUAGUUGUAGUAGUAGUGGUGGUGGUAGUAGUGGAAGUAGUAGUAGUGGUAGUUGUAGUGGUGGUGUUAAAAGUUGUAGUAGUGGUGGUAGUAGUGGUAGUUGUUGUAGUAGUGGUGGUGUUAAAAGUUGUGGUGGUAGUGGUAGUAGUGGUAGUUGUUGUAGUGGUGGUGGUGGUGGUGGUAGUUGUAGUAGUAGUGGUAGUUGUAGUGGUUGUGGUAGUAGUAGUGGUGGUGGUUGUAGUGGUAGGUGUAGUGGUGGUGGUGGUGGUGGUGGUGGUAGUUGUAGUAGUAGUUCCACUAGUAGUAGUAGUAGUAGUAGUAGUAGUAGUAGUAGUAGCAGUACCAAUAGUAGUAGUAGUGGUGGUGGUAAUGGUAGUUGUAGUAGUGGUGGUGGAGGUGGUAGUUGUAGUAGUAGUGGUGGUGGUGGUAGUUGUGGAGGUGGUAGUUGUAGUAGUAGUGGUGGUGGUAGUUGUGGUAGUUGUAGUAGUUGUAGUAGUAGUAGUAGUAGUAGUAGCAGUACCAAUAGUAGUAGUAGUGGUGGUGGUAAUGGUAGUUGUAGUAGUAGUGGUGGUAGUAGUAGUGGUGGUGGAGGUGGUAGUUGUAGUAGUGGUAGUUGUAGUAGUAGUGGGGGUGGUGGUAGUUGCAGUGGUGGUGGUAGUUGUGGUGGUGGUAGUAGUAGUAGUAGUGGUGGUGGUAGUUGUAGUGGUGGUGGAGGUGGUAGUUGUAGUAGUAGUGGUGGUGGUGGUAGUUGUGGAGGUGGUAGUUGUAGUAGUAGUGGUGGUGGUAGUUGUGGUAGUUGUAGUAGUUGUAGUAGUAGUAGUAGUAGUAGUAGCAGUACCAAUAGUAGUAGUAGUGGUGGUGGUGGUAGUAGUUGUAGUAGUAGUAGUGGCGGUGGUGGUGUUAGUUGUAGUGGUGGUGGAGGUGGUGGUAGUUGUAGUGGUAGUAGUAGUAGCAGUAACAAUGGUAGUACCACUAGUAGUAGUAGUAGUAGUAGUAGUAGCAGUACCAAUAGUAGUAGUGGUGGUGGUGGUGGUAGUUGUAGUGGUGGUGGAGGUGGUGGUUGUAGUAGUAGUAGUGGUGGUGGUAGUUGUAGUGGUAGUAGUAGUAGCAGUAACAAUGGUAGUACCACUAGUAGUAGUAGUAGUAGUAGUAGUAGCAGUACCAAUAGUAGUAGUGGUGGUGGUGGUGGUGGUAGUUGUAGUGGUGGUGGAGGUGGUGGUUGUAGUAGUAGUAGUGGUGGUGGUAGUUGUAGUAGUAGUGGUGGUGGAGGUGGUGGUUGUAGUAGUAGUGGUGGUGGUAGUUGUAGUGGUGGUGGUGGUAGUUGUAGUAGUAGUGGUGGUGGUGGUAGUUGUAGUAGUAGUAGUACCACUAGUAGUAGUAGUAGUAGCAGUACCAAUAGUAGUAGUAGUGGUGGUGGUAGUAGUUGUAGUAGUAGUAGUGGCGGUGGUAGUGGUGGUGUUAGUUGCAGUAGUAGUGGUGGUGGUAGUAGUAGUAGUAGUAGUAGUAGUAGUAGUAGUAGUGGUGGUGGUAGUAGUAGUAGCAGUACCAAUAGUAGUACCACUAGUAGUAGUAGUAGUAGUAGUAGUAGCAGUACCAAUAGUAGUAGUGGUGGUGAUAGUUGUAGUAGUAGUACCACUAGUAGUGGUGGUGGUGUUAGUUGUAGUAGUCGUGGCGGUGGUGGUGUUAGUUGUAGUAGUAGUGGUGGUGGUAGUUGUAGUAGUAGUAGCAGUACCAAUAGUAGUACCACUAGUAGUAGUAGUAGUAGUAGCAGUACCAAUAGUAGUAGUAGUGGUGGUGGUGGUAGUUGUAGUGGUGGUGGUAGUUGUGGUGGUUGUAGUAGUAGUGGUGGUGGUAGUUGUAGUGGUGGAGGUGGUAGUUGUAGUAGUAGUGGUGGUGGUAGUUGUUGUAGUGGUGGUAGUUGUAGUGGUAGUAGUAGUAGCAGUACCAAUAGUAGUACCACUAGUAGUAGUAGUAGUAGUAGUAGUAGUAGUAGUAGCAGUACCAAUAGUAGUAGUAGUGGUGGUGGUGGUAGUUGUAGUGGUGGUGGUAGUUGUAGUAGUACCACUAGUAGUAGUAGUAGUAGCAGUACCAAUAGUAGUGGUGGUGGUAGUAGUAGCAGUACCAAUAGUAGUGGUGGUAGUAGUCGUAGUGGUGGUGGUAGUACCAGUAGUAGUAGUAGUGGUGUUGGUAAUAGUAGUAGUAGUAGUAGUAGUAGUGGUGUUGGUAGUAAUAGUUGCAGUAGUAGUGUCAUUGACCAUGUGAUGGUUUACUAAUAGUUUUUCCCAGUGUCCACAGAAGUGUGGAGGUUGGACAUCUGUUUCCUCUUCUUUCCUCACCCUCUUCCUGCUUUCCUCUCAUCUCUCCAUCGCGGGGCCAGAAUGAGCUAAUAAUGAGCCAUGAUGAGUGUUCCUCAACAGACCGAAGGGAACUUAACAAGAAGAGAGGAAGAAGUGCAGGUCUUCAGGUUGUAAUGUGAAUAGCAGGACAGACUGCUCAUUAAAGCAGCUCACUGCAUCGUCACAAACACACAGGGGCUUUUAUGAGAACAGAACAGAGGAAGGCCACCCUAGUCAUAGACUGUUCUCUCUGCUACCGCACGGAAAGCGGUACCGGAGUGCCAAGACUA
This 3555-nucleotide long non-coding RNA is filed under the name Salmo salar (Atlantic salmon). RNAcentral describes it as "lncRNA (ENSSSAG00000113744.1)". The record is from RNAcentral. Lineage: Eukaryota; Metazoa; Chordata; Actinopteri; Salmoniformes; Salmonidae.